GAUGAAGAACGUAGCAAAAUGCGAUACUUGGUGUGAAUUGCAGAAUCCCGUGAACCAUCGAGUCUUUGAACGCAAGUUGCGCCCGAAGCCAUUAGGCCGAGGGCACGCCUGCCUGGGCGUCACACGUCGUUGCCCCCCCAUCUACUCCUUCGGGAUUGCGGGGGGCGGAUGAUGGCCUCUCGUGCGCCUCGUCGCGCGGUUGGCCUAAAUGCCAAGUCCUCGGCGACGCACGCCACGACAAUCGGUGGUGGCGAAACCUCGGUUGCCUGUCGUGUGCGGUCGUCGCGCAUCGAGGGCUCGAAAAAAUUGCCGGGCUUCGGCUCGACUUUCAACGCGACCCCAGGUCAGGCGGGGUUACCCGCUGAAUUUAAGCAUAUCAAUAAGCGGAGGA
This 391-nucleotide unclassified non-coding RNA is filed under the name soil metagenome. RNAcentral describes it as "partial contains 5.8S ribosomal RNA, internal transcribed spacer 2, and large subunit ribosomal RNA". The stretch from base 1 to 122 matches the Rfam family "5.8S ribosomal RNA", at positions 35 to 154 of the family's 154-position model. The record is from RNAcentral.